This 497-nucleotide ribosomal RNA is filed under the name uncultured bacterium. Its description in RNAcentral is "partial 16S ribosomal RNA". It matches the Rfam family "Bacterial small subunit ribosomal RNA", at positions 28 to 507 of the family's 1533-position model. The record is from RNAcentral.
GAUGAACGCUGGCGGCGUGCCUAAUACAUGCAAGUCGAGCGAACGGACGAGAAGCUUGCUUCUCUGAUGUUAGCGGCGGACGGGUGUGUAACACGUGGAUAACCUACCUAUAAGACUGGGAUAACUUCGGGAAACCGGAGCUAAUACUGGAUAAUAUUUUGAACCGCAUGGUUCAAAAGUGAAAGACGGUCUUGCUGUCACUUAUAGAUGGAUCCGCGCUGCAUUAGCUAGUUGGUAAGGUAACGGCUUACCAAGGCAACGAUGCAUAGCCGACCUGAGAGGGUGAUCGGCCACACUGGAACUGAGACACGGUCCAGACUCCUACGGGAGGCAGCAGUAGGGAAUCUUCCGCAAUGGGCGAAAGCCUGACGGAGCAACGCCGCGUGAGUGAUGAAGGUCUUCGGAUCGUAAAACUCUGUUAUUAGGGAAGAACAUAUGUGUAAGUAACUGUGCACAUCUUGACGGUACCUAAUCAGAAAGCCACGGCUAACUACGUG